GGUCCCAAAGUCAUGGUUAAGUGGGAAACGAUGUGGGAAGGCCCAGACAGCCAGGAUGUUGGCUUAGAAGCAGCCAUCAUUUAAAGAAAGCGUAAUAGCUCACUGGUCGAGUCGGCCUGCGCGGAAGAUGUAACGGGGCUAAACCAUGCACCGAAGCUGCGGCAGCGACACUGUGUGUUGUUGGGUAGGGGAGCGUUCUGUAAGCCUGUGAAGGUGUGUCGUGAGGCAUGCUGGAGGUAUCAGAAGUGCGAAUGCUGACAUAAGUAACGAUAAAGCGGGUGAAAAGCCCGCUCGCCGGAAGACCAAGGGUUCCUGUCCAACGUUAAUCGGGGCAGGGUGAGUCGACCCCUAAGGCGAGGCCGAAAGGCGUAGUCGAUGGGAAACGGGUUAAUAUUCCCGUACUUGGUGUUACUGCGAAGGGGGGACGGAGAAGGCUAUGUUGGCCGGGCGACGGUUGUCCCGGUUUAAGCGUGUAGGUGUGUGUUCCAGGUAAAUCCGGUUCACUUUAACACUGAGGCGUGACGACGAGGCACUACGGUGCUGAAGCAACAAAUGCCCUGCUUCCAGGAAAAGCCUCUAAGCAUCAGGUAACAUCAAAUCGUACCCCAAACCGACACAGGUGGUCAGGUAGAGAAUACCAAGGCGCUUGAGAGAACUCGGGUGAAGGAACUAGGCAAAAUGGUGCCGUAACUUCGGGAGAAGGCACGCUGACACGUAGGUGAAGUGAUUUACUCAUGGAGCUGAAGUCAGUCGAAGAUACCAGCUGGCUGCAACUGUUUAUUAAAAACACAGCACUGUGCAAACACGAAAGUGGACGUAUACGGUGUGACGCCUGCCCGGUGCCGGAAGGUUAAUUGAUGGGGUCAGCGCAAGCGAAGCUCCUGAUCGAAGCCCCGGUAAACGGCGGCCGUAACUAUAACGGUCCUAAGGUAGCGAAAUUCCUUGUCGGGUAAGUUCCGACCUGCACGAAUGGCGUAAUGAUGGCCAGGCUGUCUCCACCCGAGACUCAGUGAAAUUGAACUCGCUGUGAAGAUGCAGUGUACCCGCGGCAAGACGGAAAGACCCCGUGAACCUUUACUAUAGCUUGACACUGAACAUUGAGCCUUGAUGUGUAGGAUAGGUGGGAGGCUUUGAAGUGUGGACGCCAGUCUGCAUGGAGCCGACCUUGAAAUACCACCCUUUAAUGUUUGAUGUUCUAACGUGGACCCGUUACCCGGGUUGCGGACAGUGUCUGGUGGGUAGUUUGACUGGGGCGGUCUCCUCCUAAAGAGUAACGGAGGAGCACGAAGGUUGGCUAAUCCUGGUCGG
RNAcentral lists this ribosomal RNA (1308 nucleotides) under Salmonella enterica subsp. enterica serovar Enteritidis. Its description in RNAcentral is "partial 23S ribosomal RNA". It matches the Rfam family "Bacterial large subunit ribosomal RNA", at positions 1043 to 2334 of the family's 2925-position model. The record is from RNAcentral. Lineage: Bacteria; Pseudomonadati; Pseudomonadota; Gammaproteobacteria; Enterobacterales; Enterobacteriaceae.